RNAcentral lists this ribosomal RNA (700 nucleotides) under Vibrio vulnificus. Its description in RNAcentral is "bacterial SSU rRNA". It matches the Rfam family "Bacterial small subunit ribosomal RNA", at positions 488 to 1187 of the family's 1533-position model. The record is from RNAcentral. Lineage: Bacteria; Pseudomonadati; Pseudomonadota; Gammaproteobacteria; Vibrionales; Vibrionaceae.
UAGCACCGGCUAACUCCGUGCCAGCAGCCGCGGUAAUACGGAGGGUGCGAGCGUUAAUCGGAAUUACUGGGCGUAAAGCGCAUGCAGGUGGUUUGUUAAGUCAGAUGUGAAAGCCCGGGGCUCAACCUCGGAAUUGCAUUUGAAACUGGCAGACUAGAGUACUGUAGAGGGGGGUAGAAUUUCAGGUGUAGCGGUGAAAUGCGUAGAGAUCUGAAGGAAUACCGGUGGCGAAGGCGGCCCCCUGGACAGAUACUGACACUCAGAUGCGAAAGCGUGGGGAGCAAACAGGAUUAGAUACCCUGGUAGUCCACGCCGUAAACGAUGUCUACUUGGAGGUUGUGGCCUUGAGCCGUGGCUUUCGGAGCUAACGCGUUAAGUAGACCGCCUGGGGAGUACGGUCGCAAGAUUAAAACUCAAAUGAAUUGACGGGGGCCCGCACAAGCGGUGGAGCAUGUGGUUUAAUUCGAUGCAACGCGAAGAACCUUACCUACUCUUGACAUCCAGAGAACUUUCCAGAGAUGGAUUGGUGCCUUCGGGAACUCUGAGACAGGUGCUGCAUGGCUGUCGUCAGCUCGUGUUGUGAAAUGUUGGGUUAAGUCCCGCAACGAGCGCAACCCUUAUCCUUGUUUGCCAGCGAGUAAUGUCGGGAACUCCAGGGAGACUGCCGGUGAUAAACCGGAGGAAGGUGGGGACGACGUCA